UUUCCGUAGGUGAACCUGCGGAAGGAUCAUUAUUGUAUAACCGAGGUGCGAGGGCUGUCGCUGACCCGAAAGGUCGUGCACGCCCGAGCGCUCUCACACACAUCCAUCUCACCCCUAUGUGCACCACCGCGUGGGUCCCCCUUUGGCUUGUUCGGAGGGGGGCUUACGUUUUCACACAAACUUUGUAUGCAGUGUAGAAUGUAUUUUUUGUUUUUGCGUUCACGCAAUCAAUACAACUUUCAACAACGGAUCUCUUGGCUCUC
Molecule: unclassified non-coding RNA, 263 nt
Filed under: plant metagenome
Description: partial contains small subunit ribosomal RNA, internal transcribed spacer 1, and 5.8S ribosomal RNA
Source: RNAcentral